This 301-nucleotide ribosomal RNA is filed under the name uncultured bacterium. Its description in RNAcentral is "partial 16S ribosomal RNA". It matches the Rfam family "Bacterial small subunit ribosomal RNA", at positions 509 to 807 of the family's 1533-position model. The record is from RNAcentral.
CAGUAGCCGCGGGAAUACGGAGGGAGCUAGCGUUGUUCGGAAUUACUGGGCGUAAAGCGCACGUAGGCGGCUACUCAAGUCGGGGGUGAAAGCCCGGGGCUCAACCCCGGAACUGCCCUCGAAACUAGGUAGCUAGAAUCUUGGAGAAGUCAGUGGAAUUCCGAGUGUAGAGGUGAAAUUCGUAGAUAUUCGGAGGAACACCAGUGGCGAAGGCGACUGGCUGGACAAAUAUUGACGCUGAGGUGCGAAAGCGUGGGGAGCAAACAGGAUUAGAUACCCCUGUAGUCCCUGUCUCUUAUAC